RNAcentral lists this ribosomal RNA (297 nucleotides) under uncultured Pseudomonadota bacterium. RNAcentral's name for it is "uncultured proteobacterium partial 16S ribosomal RNA". It matches the Rfam family "Bacterial small subunit ribosomal RNA", at positions 29 to 351 of the family's 1533-position model. Lineage: Bacteria; Pseudomonadati; Pseudomonadota. The record is from RNAcentral.
AGCGAACGCUGGCGGCAGGCCUAACACAUGCAAGUCGAGCGGCCGUAGCAAUACGGCAGCGGCAGACGGGAGAGUAACACGUGGGAACGUACCUUUCAGUUCGGAACAACCCAGGGAAACUUGGGCUAAUACCGGAUACGCCCUUACGGGGAAAGAUUUAUCGCUGAAAGAUCGGCCCGCGUCUGAUUAGCUAGUUGGUGGGGUAAUGGCCCACCAAGGCGACGAUCAGUAGCUGGUCUGAGAGGAUGAUCAGCCUCACUGGGACUGAGACACGGCCCAGACUCCUACGGGUGGCAG